RNAcentral lists this long non-coding RNA (202 nucleotides) under Brassica napus (rape). RNAcentral describes it as "long non-coding RNA (BNAP_LNC014675)". The record is from RNAcentral. Lineage: Eukaryota; Viridiplantae; Streptophyta; Magnoliopsida; Brassicales; Brassicaceae.
CUCUUGGCCGCAUUUUUAGUCCGCAAUGCGCCUCCCCUUCAAGCCGAGUUCCUGGUCAUAUAUUGUGGACUGCUCUUGCCUGCUAUGGUCGUCCGCAAUGGGCAUUAAUUUUCGAGUCAUGGUUGAACCUUCACUCGGAUUUCAAUAUUUUUGCUAAUCAAAUCAUCCAAACUUCAAUUCGAAACACCUCCAAACCUGAAAU